CUUUAUGACCAAAUUACUGCCAGAGCCUUCUAACUUCUCUGCACCCUCUCCAGUCUAGCUGAGGCCCGAGGAAUACAUGGAUAAAUAACAGUAUCUGAGACCUGCUGUUGGUGUAUGUUAAAUGUUCUUUAAAAAGCGUCAACCAUCCCCAACACACGACUCUCCUGAAAGGGAAAGGUAUAGAAAAAGCAUGUGUUCACAGACCGUUUCUCUAAGGAGCAAGCAGCAAAGCCCUGGUGGAUUGAAGCUGGUCGCAUCCUGGUUUGGUCCUGGCAAUCCUUCACAUGGACAGCCAUGCUGAAUAUUUCUCGAGAAGCCAGCAGCCCAGGCUUCACAAGUUUUCUUCAAAGAAUGCACCUGUAAGAAAGAAGACUGGCUGUAUAAGAAGAGUAAGAAGAGUGGUAAAUGCAAUGACAUUUAUCUCUUUCCUCUGCCAAAGUAUUAAUUCAUCAAUAACCAAAAACACUUCAGAUGCCUUCUUACUAAUUUUUGCUGUAUCACAGGGUGGAAGACUGGUCCCAAGGGAAUAAUGGCUACAAUAUAGGACCUCCUCCCAGAAGGCAGGAACAUUGUGUCUGGCAU
Molecule: long non-coding RNA, 582 nt
Filed under: Pongo abelii (Sumatran orangutan)
Lineage: Eukaryota; Metazoa; Chordata; Mammalia; Primates; Hominidae
Description: lincRNA
Source: RNAcentral